UACGUAGGGAGCGAGCGUUGUUCGGAAUUACUGGGCGUAAAGGGAGCGCAGGCGGACAGGUCAGUCUAAAGUGGAAUCCCGGGGCUCAACCUCGGAACUGCUUCGGAUACUGCCUGUCUUGAGUUCGUGAGAGGAAAGCGGAAUUCAGGGUGUAGCGGUGAAAUGCUUAGAUAUCCUGAGGAACACCGAUGGCGAAAGCAGCUUUCUGGCGCGAUACUGACGCUGAGGCUCGAAAGCGUGGGGAGCGAACGGG
RNAcentral lists this ribosomal RNA (253 nucleotides) under uncultured bacterium. RNAcentral's name for it is "partial 16S ribosomal RNA". It matches the Rfam family "Bacterial small subunit ribosomal RNA", at positions 524 to 776 of the family's 1533-position model. The record is from RNAcentral.